CGAGCGCAAAAACAUCCGACAACAUACCCGAGAGACUGGAGAAGAGCUCUGAUGGCAGAAAAGACAAGAUUUCAGUCUCACGAAAUGUGAACAAACCAUGACUAACCCGAAAUAAUCGCAGCAAAUGAUCAAGAUUUGGGAGCGUCACUGAUUUUUAUUUUGUGCUAAUUUUACACCACAGGACAACUGGAUUCUGGAUUUCGAUUGGUCAGAAGUGUCGGCUCGUUCGCAGGUUCACACGUCGCUGGUGGUCACGCCAUCUGAUCAUUCAUUUUCUGCGUUGUCUUAUCUCACCGCUUUGAGCUUGCACGCUUUGCACCAUGGAUGCCGUGACAUUCCUGAUGACGUCUAGCGUGAAAGGCAGAGUGUCCCGUGCGGGCGUGGCCAUCAGGUUUGACAGGAGAGCAGUCGUCAUAUGUUGGAGCCUGAAAGACCUGCUGGUACACACGGACUCGGAGAAGGCGCUUCUGUUGAACAAUACAAGCACCUGAGGAAGACGAAAAAGUCAAAAAAGGGAUCUGCAGGUCUUGGAUCAGUGUGGCCAUGUCAGGGCUAAUUAGAGACAUGUUGGACGGCACCAGUACAUCAACCAGGGAGAUGUUAACAUCUGUGUGGCGUUGAAAAAGUAAACAAGAAGACAUCUGGCAACCCCAACAGGAAGUCCCACAGCGGCGAUUGUGUCUGAAGCUUGUUUAUCGUUUCCACGGACAUCUCGACUGCC
Ictalurus punctatus (channel catfish) is the source of this 721-nucleotide long non-coding RNA. RefSeq lists it as uncharacterized. The transcript has 6 exons. The record is from RefSeq and is a predicted model, not a curated record. NCBI's taxonomy places the organism in Eukaryota, Metazoa, Chordata, Actinopteri, Siluriformes, Ictaluridae.